Molecule: ribosomal RNA, 460 nt
Filed under: uncultured bacterium
Lineage: Bacteria
Description: partial 16S ribosomal RNA
Rfam family: Bacterial small subunit ribosomal RNA
Source: RNAcentral
CCUACGGGGGGCUGCAGUGAGGAAUAUUGGUCAAUGGACGAGAGUCUGAACCAGCCAAGUAGCGUGAAGGAUGACUGCCCUAUGGGUUGUAAACUUCUUUUAUAUGGGAAUAAAACGUUCCACGUGUGGGAUUUUGUAUGUACCAUAUGAAUAAGGAUCGGCUAACUCCGUGCCAGCAGCCGCGGUAAUACGGAGGAUCCGAGCGUUAUCCGGGUUUAUUGGGUUUAAAGGGAGCGUAGGUGGAUUGUUAAGUCAGUUGUGAAAGUUUGCGGCUCAACCGUAAAAUUGCAGUUGAAACUGGCAGUCUUGAGUACAGUAGAGGUGGGCGGAAUUCGUGGUGUAGCGGUGAAAUGCUUAGAUAUCACGAAGAACUCCGAUUGCGAAGGCAGUUCACUGGACUGCAACUGACACUGAGGCUCGAAAGUGUGGGUAUCAAACAGGAUUAGAUACCCUUGUAGUC